UCUGGUGGUAAAGCGUUGGGGUCACACCUGAUCCCUUCUCGAACUCAGAAGUUAAGCCCAACAGCGCUGAUGAUACUUGGGCCUGAGCCCUGGGAAAGUAGGUCGCCGCCAGAA
This 114-nucleotide ribosomal RNA is filed under the name Patescibacteria group bacterium. The record is from RNAcentral. RNAcentral also lists the same sequence under 1 other name.